Long non-coding RNA from Chlorocebus sabaeus (green monkey), 1301 nucleotides. RefSeq lists it as uncharacterized. The record is from RefSeq and is a predicted model, not a curated record. Lineage: Eukaryota; Metazoa; Chordata; Mammalia; Primates; Cercopithecidae.
AUGAGAUCUGGUGGUUUUGUAAAGGACUUUUCCCUCUUUGCUAGGUACUUCUCCUUCCUGCCAUCACGUGAAGAAGAACAUGUUUGCUUCCCCUUCCACCACAAUUAAUGCAGUGAAGGUGACCUUCUGGAUUUCUGAGCCUGGGCCUGGCAACUUCUGCUUCACUUCUUGGGAGCCAGCUGCUUUGAAAGAAGAUUGAGCAAGACAGCUGAAAGAUAUGUAGAGAGAGAAGCCAAGAGAGUGCCCAGCUAUUCCAGUUACACCUACAGACUCACCACGUGUAUGAGUGAAGCCAUCUUGGACUUUCCAGCUGAGCUCCCAGCUAAAGGCAGCUGCAAGGGUGAUCCCAGCUGAUGCCAUGUGAAACAGAAGAACCAUCCACCUGAGCCCAGCCAAGGUGAUGCUGCUGCUGCUGGUGUAAAGAUCUUGGAUAAGGCUGCAUCUCCUGGGCGGAGGCACUGCAGUCCAGUGAGCAUCAGGGAAGACUGGACGACUGAUUCUCUGACUUCCUGUUGAACCACUGAUAGGAUCAAGUGGACUUGUUGGCUUAUUGGUGCUUAGAGACAUUGAGGAUACCCAAUAGAUCCUUUCCACAGAAUUGUGUAAAACUUCAGAACAUGUACAUUGUCAUUUAUGCUUUAUUUUGUCAAAUAAUUUUUGCCAUCUGUAUCAGAGUUGGCAAAGUGUGGCCUGGGGGUCAAAUCCAGCCCACUGACUGUUUUUAUAAAGCCUGCCAGCCAAGAAUGGCUUUUAUUUUAAAAAAAAAUGGUUGAAGAAUAAUCAAAAGAAGAGUAAUAUUUUAUGGCACAUGAGCAUUAUAUAAAAUUUAAAUUUCAGUGUUCACAGAUAAAGUUUUAUUGGAAGACAGCCAAGUUCAUUUGUUUACAUAUUGUCUAUGACUGCUUUCAUGAUACAAUAGCAGAGUUGACGUAGACCAUAUGGCCCAUAAAGCCAAAAAUAUUUACUGUCUGGUCCUUUUCAGAAAAAGUUUGCCAACCCCUUAUGUAUAUGAUGACUUCAACCUGCAAGUACAGAAUAAAGACAGUGAGAUAACCUGCAAAGUCCUCAUGAAGAGAAAAGGCAUGCACUAUUAGGUAUAUAAACCAGAAGUUAAACAUUACCAGAAAAAAAAAAAAAAUCAACUCAUAGAGAUGAGUUUUACAAAGCAGAGCUUUUAAAGAAGUCCUAAUUUCCUAGUCAAAACAAAGAGCUAAAAAUCAGAUUUCUGCUCUUGACCAAGAAUUAAAACCUUCCUUCCUUCCUUCCUUCCUUCCUUCCUUCCUUCCUUCCUUCCUUCCUUC